AGAUUGAACGCUGGCGGCAUGCUUUACACAUGCAAGUCGAACGGUAACAGGCCGCAAGGUGCUGACGAGUGGCGAACGGGUGAGUAAUGCAUCGGAACGUGCCCAGUCGUGGGGGAUAACGCAGCGAAAGCUGUGCUAAUACCGCAUACGAUCUAUGGAUGAAAGCGGGGGACCAAAGGCCUCGCGCGAUUGGAGCGGCCGAUGUCAGAUUAGCUAGUUGGUGGGGUAAAGGCCCACCAAGGCGACGAUCUGUAGCUGGUCUGAGAGGACGACCAGCCGACACUGGAACUGAGACACGGUCCAGACUCCGUACGGGAGGACAGCGAGGUUGGGGAAUUUUGGACAAGUGGGCGCGAAGCCUGAUCCAGCAAUGCCGCGUGCAGGAAGAGGUCGU
RNAcentral lists this ribosomal RNA (394 nucleotides) under uncultured soil bacterium. RNAcentral's name for it is "bacterial SSU rRNA". It matches the Rfam family "Bacterial small subunit ribosomal RNA", at positions 26 to 417 of the family's 1533-position model. The record is from RNAcentral.